UCCUGGCUCAGGAUGAACGCUAGCUACAGGCUUAACACAUGCAAGUCGAGGGGAAACGACAUCGAAAGCUUGCUUUUGAUGGGCGUCGACCGGCGCACGGGUGAGUAACGCGUAUCCAACCUGCCCACCACUUGGGGAUAACCUUGCGAAAGUAAGACUAAUACCCAAUGAUAUCUCUAGAAGACAUCUAAAAGAGAUUAAAGAUUUAUCGGUGAUGGAUGGGGAUGCGUCUGAUUAGCUUGUUGGCGGGGUAACGGCCCACCAAGGCAACGAUCAGUAGGGGUUCUGAGAGGAAGGUCCCCCACAUUGGAACUGAGACACGGUCCAAACUCCUACGGGAGGCAGCAGUGAGGAAUAUUGGUCAAUGGACGAGAGUCUGAACCAGCCAAGUAGCGUGCAGGAUGACGGCCCUAUGGGUUGUAAACUGCUUUUAUAAGGGAAUAAAGUGAGUCUCGUGAGACUUUUUGCAUGUACCUUAUGAAUAAGGACCGGCUAAUUCCGUGCCAGCAGCCGCGGUAAUACGGAAGGUCCGGGCGUUAUCCGGAUUUAUUGGGUUUAAAGGGAGCGUAGGCCGGAGAUUAAGCGUGUUGUGAAAUGUAGACGCUCAACGUCUGCACUGCAGCGCGAACUGGUUUCCUUGAGUACGCACAAAGUGGGCGGAAUUCGUGGUGUAGCGGUGAAAUGCUUAGAUAUCACGAAGAACUCCGAUUGCGAAGGCAGCUCACUGGAGCGCAACUGACGCUGAAGCUCGAAAGUGCGGGUAUCGAACAGGAUUAGAUACCCUGGUAGUCCGCACGGUAAACGAUGGAUGCCCGCUGUUGGUCUGAAUAGGUCAGCGGCCAAGCGAAAGCAUUAAGCAUCCCACCUGGGGAGUACGCCGGCAAC
This 885-nucleotide ribosomal RNA is filed under the name uncultured bacterium. Its description in RNAcentral is "bacterial SSU rRNA". It matches the Rfam family "Bacterial small subunit ribosomal RNA", at positions 17 to 892 of the family's 1533-position model. The record is from RNAcentral.